GACGAACGCUGGCGGCGUGCUUAACACAUGCAAGUCGAACGGAAAGGCCCUGCUUUUGUGGGGUGCUCGAGUGGCGAACGGGUGAGUAACACGUGAGUAACCUGCCCUUGACUUUGGGAUAACUUCAGGAAACUGGGGCUAAUACAGGAUAGGAGCUCCUGCUGCAUGGUGGGGGUUGGAAAGUUUCGGCGGUUGGGGAUGGACUCGCGGCUUAUCAGCUUGUUGGUGGGGUAGUGGGUUACCAAGGCUUUGACGGGUAGCCGGCCUGGGAGGGUGGCCGGCCAGAAUGGGAUUGGGAGACGGGCAAGACUCCUGAGGGAGGCAGGAGGGGGGAAAGAUUCACAAAGGGCGGAAGCCUGAUGGAGGAAGGCCGCGGGGUGGAGGACCGCCUUCGGGGUGGAAACCGCUUUCGCCUGUGACGAAGCGUGAGUGACGUUAAUGGGUAAAGAGACACCGGCUAAUUACGU
Molecule: ribosomal RNA, 467 nt
Filed under: uncultured bacterium
Lineage: Bacteria
Description: partial 16S ribosomal RNA
Rfam family: Bacterial small subunit ribosomal RNA
Source: RNAcentral